This is a long non-coding RNA of Gadus chalcogrammus (walleye pollock), 404 nucleotides long. RefSeq lists it as uncharacterized. The transcript is spliced from 3 exons. NCBI's taxonomy places the organism in Eukaryota, Metazoa, Chordata, Actinopteri, Gadiformes, Gadidae. The record is from RefSeq and is a predicted model, not a curated record.
GUGUCUACUCUUCUGGACAUAGCGGUCCUCUCUCCCUGUGAUGUGAGUCCUCUGGAAAGCCAGAGGGGCCAUCCUGGUGGAGAGGAGAGAGCUGUGUGUGACCAAGGACAUCAUGCCAACGCUAAGACGUUCCCUUCCUCUGCCUCUUCGCGCUUCUUCAUCACUGAAGGAGCCAUCGGGCCAGCACAGCAGGGCCCCAAGACACAAGGGGUGGAGGGAGAAAUCCGCCCUGCAGAUACUGAGGCUGGGCGCUGGUGGAGGAAGACGAGAGAUGAAUCACGAGCCCAGCCGCCUCGUUAGACAGUAUGACACUCAUCGCAGGACAACCGAAUCUGUUCGAGGAUCAUCAGCCGUCGGUGGACAGAGUCUUCGGUGGACAGAGAUGCUAUCUGAAUCGCUCCUGU